CACAUUUAUUUUAUAAGAGCAGGUCACCAGAAGCCUGUAUUCUUUCUCCUAACUGUUCUAUCAGUGCCAUUCCUUGGAAAGCAAUUCCUUCUGCAAGGACCUUACAUUUCUAAACCUUUUCAUAAGGCCUCAGAUCCAUGCCCUUCCUGAAGCCUAAAGGGGACUAUUAUGGGUUGACUGUGACCCUCCAAAUUCAUAUGUUGAAGUUCUAACCCUCAGUACCUAAGAAUGUGGCUUUAUUUGGAGAUAGGGUCUUUAUAGAAGUAACAGGUUAAAAUGAGGUCGUUAGGGUCUUAAUCCAAUAUGACUGGAUUUUUUCUUCACAAUAAAAAUAAACUCAUGCCAGUGUUCAGUAACCAAUAAUAUCAAUUCAUUCAAAUUUAAUGACAGUUUUAUUAAACUAAGAAUCUCAUGUCACAGAGCAUUCACAGUGCAGGAGGUCACAGUUAUUGAAAAAAUAAAUAGCGGGAUAAAUAUACUCAUUAUUUACAACUUUUCAACUCGAUGAUCCUGCUUUGCCCAUUAGAGAGAGAAUGAACAAAGAUGGUGGUGUUCAGCUCAGCAUGCCAGAACGAUCUUGGGGUGACUCGAACAAUGUGUGAACAGCCCCAGAAGUUCUUGGUUUUAGUUGUUUUUAAGGAGGUUCUUUCAGGACACAAGAAUCCUUAUAAAAAGGAGAAAACUGGACAUGCAGGGAGAACCUGGGCAAAGAUGAAGACAGCCAAGGGCAGAGAGGCAAGAGGGGCCUGGGACAGACUCUCCUUCAGGCUUCUGGCCUCCGGAACCACAAGACAAUACACUUCCGUUGUUUACGGCACCCCGUUUGUGGGAACGAAGCCUAGCAGAUGCAUGCGGGCCCUUCAUGAUCUCUCCUGCCAGGCUUGUCAGCUGAUGUUCUAUGAGGACUCCCGGCCACUGCGCCUCACUUCAUGUUCCCAGCUACCCUGGGCUGGAGGCCGGAGUGGGGCAUAACCUCGCGUGACAGAAGAUGAAACUGAGGCUUGGGAUGUGCCCAAGGGCACAGUUUGCAGGCGGCCCAAGGUCCCCUGGUACAGCAUCCUUUUUACCAAGCCUUGAAGCAUAUUUGGGACCCAGGCAACAGCACCCACGACCCUGCCUGGGAAUCACAGGAUAUCGGAUUGUAUGCUCUGGUAGUUUCUGAAGGGUGAGCUCUCUUUCCCCAACCAGGCUAGAAGCACAUCAGAGGCUGGGGCCCAUGUCCUCGUCCUUCCCCUUCCUGUCCAGCUGUCCAGUAUCCAGCUAGCCACACAAUCAGGAAGUUAGUAACUGGAGAGGCAUAUAAUUAAGAAAGCAAACUUUUGUAAGUAAGACUCGUACUGGCUGGAAUCUGCCCUAACCCGGCCACUGAGCCAUACUUCCACACCACUGUCCUAACCUGGCACACAUACACAUGUUUUUGGAAUGAACAAACCUGAAACGCACAUGCCUAGAACCACAACAUUGCUUUGGUAGCUGGCACAUACGGCAGGCAACUCAGAUCGGCACCCACACAGGUGGCCCAUCUCUGUUCGACUGCCAGCCCGCCCAUGUUGCAUAGCUAGGUCACCUCCUCCUCCCCUGCUUGUUGCUGUCAUCUGUUGGCCCCUUACACUCCUCCUCCCAGCCUGCCCCAGGCACUUUUCUGAGUGACUUCAAAAUCUCUUAGCUUAGUCCUGUUAGGAGUGGCGUCUCUGGGAACCUGGACUUCUGGUCUGUCAGUGUCCGGUAAGAUGCGGGAACAUGCAGCAACUGUUGUGGCCCAGUUAGUUGCACCUGGUGAAGAGGCAGGCACUCCGGCAGGUCAGGAGGGUAGGAAGGUGCCUGAGUUUGCAGAGGAGGGGAUGAGCGGGUCUCAGGUUUGGUGGACUUCCCGCUCUGCACAAACGGGGCUGCCGGCAGCUGUGUGAGCCUUUGAGGACUUCUAGGGCAGUGCGACUCAAAUUUUAGUGAGAACAGGAAUCACCUGGGGGUCUUGUGAAAAUGCAGAUUCUGAUUCAGUGGGUCUGGGGCACAGCUUGGGAGUCUGCAUUUCUCAUCAGCUCCCAGGUCAAGCCGAUGCUCGGGGCUAGGACCAUGCUAUGUGCUGCGGGCCUGGAGGGAGGCCAGGAUAUGGUGCCUCGGGUUAGAGCACGUGCUGCACAGCCUCCUGGUUUGUACAGCAGGCUCUGAACAGGGGUUCCUGGAUCUUUUGUCAUCAGGAAGCUAUUUUUUUUUUCUUUUUGAGACGAAGUCUCCCUCUGUCGCCUAGGCUGGAGUGCAGUGGUUCACUGUAACAUCUGCCUCCUGGGUUCAAGCAAUUCUCCUGCCUCAGCCUCCCGAGUAGCUGCAAUUACAGGUGUGCACCACCACGCCUGGCUAAUUUUUUUUAUUUUUAGUAGAGACGGGGUUUCACCAUGUUGGCCAGGCUGGUCUCAAACUCCUGACCUCAGGUGAUCCGCCCACCUCGACCUCCCAAAGUGCUGGGAUUACAGGUAUGACCCACCGCGCCCAGCCAGGAAGCUAUUUUUAACCAUGUUUGUUGGAGUCCCUGUCAAUCAUAUCAAUGUUACCCUGAGGACUAUUACGCAACCCCCGCCCCUGGCCUCACCCUUCCUCAGUUUCUGUACUUCCACAUUUCGCUGUAGCCACUCUGAGAUGAUGUGCUGCUUCAGAGCCCCAUCUGUCCCUUGGUCCUAACAGAGACCCUUUGUUGAUCUUACUGGGACACUCCCCACUCCUGCAAGCCCUUAAACUUCCAGCAUCCUAACACCCCUCCCUAGCCUGAACUCCAGGGCCAGUUGUUUAAACUGCACAUUUCCUUGUCCCUUGACCUUCCACUGUGUCCACCCAGCUGACUCUGGCUAGGGAUGAACUUGUCAUCUGUGCACCGCUGGCGCUGGCAUGACUGAAUCCCACCAAGUUCAUGUCGCUGAACAUCGGCCAGGGCCCCGGUGCUCACCAGCUUUCCUUGUACUCACUGUACUGGGCUGAGUACCCUGCCCCCAUUCAUGUCCAUCUGGAACCUGUGAAUGUGACUUUAUUUGGAAAUAGGGUCUCUGAGGAUGUACUCAAAUUAAGGUAAGGUCAUACUAAAUUAGAGUGAGUUCUAAUCUGAUGACUGGUCUCCUUAUAGGAAGGAGGAAGUCUGCUGGGUGCAGUGGCUCAUGCUGGUAAUCCCAGCACUUUGGGAGGCUGAGACAGGUGGAUCACUUGAGGUCAGGAG
This 3202-nucleotide long non-coding RNA is filed under the name Homo sapiens (human). RNAcentral's name for it is "HSALNT0378732". The record is from RNAcentral. Lineage: Eukaryota; Metazoa; Chordata; Mammalia; Primates; Hominidae.